RNAcentral lists this ribosomal RNA (401 nucleotides) under uncultured bacterium. Its description in RNAcentral is "bacterial SSU rRNA". It matches the Rfam family "Bacterial small subunit ribosomal RNA", at positions 355 to 768 of the family's 1533-position model. The record is from RNAcentral.
UGGGGAAUAUUGCACAAUGGGCGCAAGCCUGAUGCAGCAACGCCGCGUGAGGGACGACGGCCUUCGGGUUGUAAACCUCUUUUGGCAGGGAAGAAGCGAAAGUGACGGUACCUGCAGAAAAAGCACCGGCUAACUACGUGCCAGCAGCCGCGGUGAUACGUAGGGUGCACGCGUUGUCCGGAAUCAUUGGGCGUAAAGAGCUCGUAGGCGGUUUGUCGCGUCUGCUGUGAAAACCCGAGGCUCAACCUCGGGCCUGCAGUGGGUACGGGCAAACUAGAGUGCGGUAGGGGGGAUUGGAACUCCUGGUGUAGCUGUGGAAUGCGCAGGUAACAGGAGGAACACCGAUGGCGAAGGCAGAUCGCUGGGCCGUAACUGACGCUGAUGAGCGAAAGCAUGGGGAG